UACGAAGGGUGCAAGCGUUACUCGGAAUUACUGGGCGUAAAGGGUGCGUAGGUGGUUUGUUAAGUCUGCUGUGAAAUCCCCGGGCUCAACCUGGGAAUGGCAGUGGAUACUGGCAAGCUAGAGUGCGGUAGAGGGUAGUGGAAUUCCCGGUGUAGCAGUGAAAUGCGUAGAGAUCGGGAGGAACACCCGUGGCGAAGGCGGCCAUCUGGACCAGCACUGACGCUGAGGCACGAAAGCUAGGGGAGCAAACAGG
Molecule: ribosomal RNA, 253 nt
Filed under: uncultured bacterium
Lineage: Bacteria
Description: partial 16S ribosomal RNA
Rfam family: Bacterial small subunit ribosomal RNA
Source: RNAcentral